UGGGGUGUUUUAUUGAGUAAGUUUCAGAUUUAUAGGGCAAAGAAUAUGGCUUGGGACUAGUUGCUUCAUCUUCUAUUGUCUUGAAUGGUUGAUGUUGAAUAAUUAAAUUUGAAAGUUGCAAAAGAGGGGAAACUUAGGAGACUGGAAUGUGGUUUUUAUUAAUAGGGGGCAAAGUUGCAAUUGAUGCAAGUUAGGAGGUCAAAAGUGCAUGUAAGCCUAGAGAUUAUUAAGGCGGCGCCACGGAUAGUGCGCGCCUGGGACCCUAGGACUUCUUUUAAGGGUCCUAAAUCCUUCUUGACGGGUCUUUAAACCUUUUUAGAGGUCCUUCAAGUCCUUAGGAAUAUUAUGACGGUCCAAUAUAUAUUAAUGGAAAAAUGCUUAAUAGCAGUUUUG
This 393-nucleotide long non-coding RNA is filed under the name Medicago truncatula (barrel medic). RNAcentral's name for it is "lncRNA gene46640". Lineage: Eukaryota; Viridiplantae; Streptophyta; Magnoliopsida; Fabales; Fabaceae. The record is from RNAcentral.